UCCAUCCCCUUCCAUCGGCCAUACUCCACAUUUUGCCCCAAAUUCCCAAUUUAGGGAUUUCUAGCGAAGGAACGGCGGCGGCGCACCUUGCCAGCAGCUAGUCGCCAGUUCCAGACCGGCGACGAGUCGGUGUCCCCGCGGCACAUGAGUUUUGGCAAAGCGGCACCACUGUAGUUAAGCCACCAUUGCUAUCCGAUACCCCGCAGGACGGAGAUGCCGCCUGCUCUCCUCCGUCGGCUAGACUCGGAAUUGAGCCCGCUCCCAGCUGCUCAUCUGCCACUGCCAGCGGCGUGUUGCGGAGCUGCCGAUUGGUACGGCUCGUGCAGCCGUCCUCGGGCUCCGUCGUCUCCGAGGUUAUCGGCGUCUCUUCCGGCGCCACCAAGCUGCCGGCCCUCUCGCCGCGUCGGCUCUAUCGCCCUCGGAAUCACCGUCGAGCUUGACUAGGCUAAAGCCCGGCGGCUUCGAGUUGCUCUCGGCAUCCCCGGCUACAUUCCGCUGUCUUCGGCGCUAACUUAUACGUAGGAGAUGAGUUUUUCCUAUCUUAAGCCUACUUUAGCCUACUUAAUUUCAGAUUGUAACCUUGAGAAAUUCUUCUUACUUGUUGGAAGUUGUUUUGGUUGCUUAUUGGAGUGUGCUUUAAAAAUCAAUACUUGCCGAGCUUUAAGCUAUGGAAGUUGUUACUGUUAUGCUAUUGGCCUUUGGGAUUGUAUGCUCUAGUCAAGUUGUUGAGUUUGAUUAGAGAUGCAGCUAUGUUCUGUUCCUUGGUUACAUUGUACAAAAUGGCUCUAAACUUCCUCAUACUCGUUCCUUUUUUAUUAGUUUGUUUGGAUAUCAACAUGCUGAUUGUGGUUUCUACAUGUUGUUGUGGUUCAUGCUUAAGUGUGAGGAAGAAAAGAAAGGUAAAGUGGAGGUUACCUUCUUCCACUGCCCUUGAUCUCCACUCCUAGCCUCGGUCUCCCUCACACUCUCUAACUCACUGAUUGCUGACUGAAAAUGUUGUGUGGAAAGGAGUGAAAUCGAGGCAUGGGACAUUUAUAGAUGGGUUGUAACUGAAAGCUGAAAAACUUUUGUUUGGCCGGGAAAAAGGGAUCCACAGGCUUGUGCAGCUGGCUGCUCUCUCUGCAGCUCUGCAGAGCAUGUACCCUGAGUCCUUUGGCCCCUUUUCUAACUGAAUUUGGUGGUAUAUGGGGGUGUACUCGUGAGUUUAUGGUGGCUGCCACAGAGCUCCAGUCUUUGGCGGUUCUCUAUGCUGCAAUCCAACUGAUUUCUCUAAUGUGGUCUUGCAGGUACGAACUGGGCAGGGUUGUUUGGCUGGGUGGAGUGCACCUGCCGUUGUGCAGUGAACUGGCUGGACAACCUGCUGGAAGGGCAGGCCAUUUCUGGUGGUGGCAGCCUUCAUCCUUGCCUAUUUUGAGAAAAAGGGCUGCUAAGCAUGGCUCUCACCCUGGGUGUUCCAAUUCGUCGGGCCGUUUGAGCUGGGCCAAGACCGGGCAUGAGAUACAUCUUGUGACUCGAAAUUGUAAUAGCCUAGUUCAACUUAAAUUUUAGUUCUUCAUGUAGACGAGUCUUUGUAAUCGUUAAUGUGUAUUCGGUUUCCUUUGUUUUCACUGUCAACAUUUGUAAUACACGAUUUAAAUUGGAAGUUCUAAAUAUCAUGUUUUGUUUACUCAAGAAUAUAAAUAAAUACUCUUUCGUUCUUUAUUUAAA
This is a long non-coding RNA of Salvia splendens (bonfire salvia), 1707 nucleotides long. RefSeq lists it as uncharacterized. Lineage: Eukaryota; Viridiplantae; Streptophyta; Magnoliopsida; Lamiales; Lamiaceae. The record is from RefSeq and is a predicted model, not a curated record. The transcript has 2 exons.